AGCAGCCGCGGUAAUUCCAGCUCCAAUAGCGUAUAUUAAAGUUGUUGCAGUUAAAAAGCUCGUAGUUGAAUUUCGGGAUCAACACGUCGGUCGUGCCUUCGGUACGCACUAGCGUCGUUGGUUCCUCCCUUCUGACGAACCAUGAUGUCAUUAACUUGGUGUUUUGGGGAGUUAGGACUGUUACUUUGAAAAAUUAGAGUGUUUAAAGCAGGCAAUCGCUUGAAUACAUUAGCAUGGAAUAAUGAAAUAGGACGUUCGAUCCUAUUUCGUUGGUUUCUAGGAUCAACGUAAUGAUUAAUAGGGAUAGUUGGGGCAUUAGUAUUCAAUUGUCAGAGGUGAAAUUCUUGGA
This 349-nucleotide ribosomal RNA is filed under the name uncultured Glomeromycotina. RNAcentral describes it as "SSU rRNA". It matches the Rfam family "Eukaryotic small subunit ribosomal RNA", at positions 569 to 924 of the family's 1831-position model. Lineage: Eukaryota; Fungi; Glomeromycota. The record is from RNAcentral.